GAUGAACGCUAGCGGCAGGCCUAACACAUGCAAGUCGAGGGAGAAGCCCUUCGGGGCAGAAACCGGCGCACGGGUGCGUAACGCGUAUGCAACCUACCUUUCACAGGGGGAUAGCCCGAAGAAAUUUGGAUUAAUACCCCAUAAUAUUAUUGGGUGGCAUCAUUUGAUAAUUAAAAUUACGAUGGUGAAAGAUGGGCAUGCGUCCUAUUAGCUAGUUGGAGUGGUAACGGCACCCCAAGGCUACGAUAGGUAGGGGUCCUGAGAGGGAGAUCCCCCACACUGGUACUGAGACAGGGACCAGACUCCUACGGGAGGCAGCAGUGAGGAAUAUUGGUCAAUGGUCGGAAGACUGAACCAGCCAUGCCGCGUGCAGGAAGAAUGCCUUAUGGGUUGUAAACUGCUUUUAUAUGGGAAGAAUAAGGAGUACGUGUA
Molecule: ribosomal RNA, 432 nt
Filed under: Capnocytophaga granulosa
Lineage: Bacteria; Pseudomonadati; Bacteroidota; Flavobacteriia; Flavobacteriales; Flavobacteriaceae
Description: bacterial SSU rRNA
Rfam family: Bacterial small subunit ribosomal RNA
Source: RNAcentral